UUAUGUUAUUUGGUCGUCCUGUUUUGUUGGUCCACUGAAUACUCUCCUUGAAAAAAGGUUAACUUUAUUCGGUAAGUUUGAGCUGGAAGAGUGGAGGGGGCCAGCCACGCGUCACCAACCAAGUAAAAGGUAAGUGGUCCAAUCAAUCCGAACUGUUACAGCCACGCGCCCACGCGCCUCAAUUGUUUCGGUACGAGGAGAUUUUACUUAUUUUGGCUAAUCUCGUCAAACCACGUGUACCCAUUCUCGAACAUUUCUGGUUUAAAAAAUAAUAAUAAAUAAAUAGAAACCCGUUUCCAUUUCAGUUGGAAAAUGAUGCUCCGCCAAAACCAAAGCCCACGUGUCCCUCCUUUUUCCCGAGUGCUUCACACCCUCCACACCUCAUUGGCCAGAACGUGGGGCCCCCAAUCACAGAACUCAAUUUAGGGUGGGACCCUCUCAUAAAACGAAUCAGCGAAUGGCGUGCGAGCACUGUUGGAGAGAGGGGGUGCCCUAGACAGGUGGUGCUUCCUCUUCCAGCCACCACGCUGGCCUUCUAUGAUUUUCGCUUCAGCUACCGGAAACUAGAGAGAGAGAGAGAUAGAGAGAGAGAGAGAGAGGGAGUGCAAGAGCCAGAGAUCAGGUAGCUAGAUCCUCUAAAGAGAGUGAUGGACGGCGGAGAUGGAUGGCACGCGGCAGCUGGCGGUGGAGGUGGAAAAGAAAAAACGGUUAUUAACCGGAUAAUGCUCAGAUACCGUCCAAUCGCACCCAGACCGAUCCUCGGAGCAUCCUGUUCAGGUGAGAUUGUCCCGGAGGGGAAGAACAAAAGCUUGUAUUCUCCGAGUAAGAGAGUUAAGAGGAAGUACAUUCGGACCAAGAAAGGUAGCAGAUCUUCAACUGGAGAUCCACAAGGCGGUGUCAUGGACUCGACCACCAUCACGCUUCAGCUGUUGCCCGGAGAAAGACGCUCCGGAGAUACUUCAGGUAGUAGAUCUUGGUUGAGUAUUGACCAGGCGGUUGAGAAAUACCCGCAUAGUCAGGACCACCUAUGGGUGAACACGCGAACUUUGAAUAGCUGGCCGGAGAUAACUGAUGCGGUGGCUGGAUCUGACCGGAGGUUGGUGGCAGCGGCUCCGGUGGUGGCUGUGGAGUCGUGGGUGACGGUGGAAAGCGUGACAGACACGUGCAUGGAUGUUCGAGGCUUAGGUUGUACGGACAGGGAGAAAGCGGGGAGUUUGGAGAAGGACACGUGUCCGGGGUUUAUAUCAGACGGUUUUAACAGAGUUCAGUGGGUGAACGAGGCUUAUAAGGACAUGGUGAGGCAAGGGGGGAAUUACUACUGUGACGGGCAGUCACCGGAGGUGAGGGUUUGGCUGGUCACGAAGGCGGAGUUGCCGGCAAAUGGGCACUCGGCGUUCAGUUGUAGGGUGAGGCUGCAGUACAUGUGUCAGAAGGAGAAGUGUUCGAAAAUGGUGCCCUGUGAUGUGUGGAGGAUGCAGGAGGGUGCUGGGUUGGCUUGGAGGCUGGACAUGAAGGCUGCGCUCAGUUUGGGUCUUUAAAAUUAAAGACCAGCUGGUGCUUGCUAUUAUCAGGUAUAAUAUAUACAUAUUAUUCUUGUUUCUACAAUCUAAGCUUUGAUCGAUCAGUGGUAAACAAAACCAAACACGGAGAAGAAAGGUCAAUCAAGCAAAAGGUAUAGUGGUAUAUAUAGGGAGUAGAUAUAAGUAUUUAAGAUUGAACCAGAAGUGUACGUUAUAUAUCAGCAGUAAGAGAGCUGGUGACCUUUAUUGGCUUUUCUUAUGGGAUUUGGGAGUAAUUUUGAAACGAUAGUAGUAAACCCAGAAAAGAACAGCAUCAUUCCAGCUAUCUAGCACUAGCUAAACCACAAAAGGUUGAUAAUGUAUGAGAACCAAAACACAAAUACCGGUGCCCAUUUAGCUACCUAUAGCCUUUUUUUUUUUUUUUUAAUAUCUUUUCGGUGAAAGAUCAUCCCUAUAUCCGUGCAUUUUUAUAUAUUAUGGUGAGACAUUGUCCCUAGAACUUGUAUAUGGGUAUAAAUUUUGAAAAGUCCAGAAGGGCAUCGAGUACGAUGUUGUUUAGAUAAAUAUCUUAACUUUUCAUAUAGAUUAGUAAACAUUCAGUUCAGUGAUAUUUCUCUUUCAGUUUAUGAUAGAAAUUUCUAGUUUGUUUAUCUUUCUUUAAUAAGAAAAUGUUGUUAAUUUUUUUAAAAAAGAUACUCAGUUUGUUGAAAACAACGAAAUGUAUAAAACAACGAAAUGUACGUAUUUUAUUUUAUUAAGAUUAAUUUAAAACAGAAUGAGCAAUACACCUCUUUAAAUUCGCAUUGCAUCAGUUUGUCGGACAAAAUGUCAUUAUCUUCCAAUAUGAUUUUGAGUAUGCCUAAACUUCUAGAAUAACAGAGGAUAACAUCAAGCAAAGCUUUUAUUCAUUCUAGUAUAUAACCACUCAUUUUGCUAAUGUUUGUUUACACCAAUUACUAAUUCGAAAGGAUUUGUUUACACCAAUUACUAAUUCGAAAGGAUUUGAAAUAUCUUUGGAAGUGGAAAGUUCCUAUACCUGUAACAUGUGAAUAAUGUCCAUAUAUAGUAUGAAGGGAUAAUGCUAUAUUCUUUCUCUUUUUUCUUCAUAAAACUUUUCUAAUAAAUAUUACUAUUCAUAUAAAAGUUACUCACAGAGUACGGUAAAUAUUAACAAACUUUUUUUUGUUACAACAUUAACAGUUGAUAUAAAAUUCUGACGCAAGUGGGGGAAGUGACGCAGAUUAUAUAUAUAUAUAUUCGUCUUUCGUGGUUGUAACUCGUAACCAGCAGGUAUAAACCACGUGGAACUUAGAGUCUUAGAGAUUAGAGAUGAAAGGUACGGCCUACUAAUGGAACAUUUUCCCUUCCUUUUCUGGAAAAAUAAAUUAAACAAAAAUUUUGUCGGGUUUCUCGGAUGACGUAAAAAAUCUAACCCCAAAAGAUUCACAAGCCCAUCGGACCAACCACGCGUCCUAGUCAAAAGUGACCAAUCACAACCAAACCCAACCCUGCUCCACUCGCACGCCCCUCACGUGCCUCCCUCUCCGGCGACCCUUCUCUCCCGCAGUGUGUCUCACGCGGCCCUUGUCGCGUGGAACCUUUUUCCGGGGUCGUGUUUAAAACAAGAAUUUUGAUGUUCUUUCAAUCUUUCCCUAAUAAAAAACGACCACGUAUUGCGCCUUCUCGAACCUACCCAACGGGCUAACAUCACUGAACGCUAAGCCCGAGGCAGUCCCACGUGUCCCUUUCCUUUCGGCCAGUGCUGACACCUGCUUCCCUCUGAUUGGUCUCUCGUGUGGGACCAUCUACUCAAUUACGCCCCUGAUAUGCUACUUUCACUGCGGACCCCACUCCCCAAGAAGCUGACCAAUAAGAAUGCGUAGUUGUAGCCCUAGCCAGGUGGGAAUUGUACAUGUUUGUUUCUUCACUGGGACUUCGCCCAUAAUUGGUAAAAUAAAUUGCGGAUCGAAAAUUCAAGUGAAUUGGAUAUGGAUGUAAGGAUGUUAGUUGAGGAGGCGUAGCCAAGCCAAGCCAAGCCAUCAAUGGAAGGAGGUGGAGAAGGGUGGCGCCGUAUGAUAAGCGGUGCGGAGGAUAAGUAUGUGUUGAAUCAGAUAAUGCUGAGAUUCCGGCCGAUUGCUCCGAAGCCAGUCACCGGAGGGCCAGGUUCGGGUGAGCCGCCGACGGGUUGGAGUAACGCGCUCGCUUCCAGGGGGAGAACCAAGAGAAAGUACGUUAGGGUUCGUAAGAAUGUUAGCGGCGAGGAGGAGAGUGGGAGAGAGAGGGUGGACACUAAACGAGUGGUGACACUGCAGCUGUUGCCGGAGAUCGAGAAGAGCGGCGAUUACAGCAGUGACCAAUCGACGGACGGCGGAUCUAGUUGUGAGUUUGAUUCUAGUAUCGGCACAAAUCAUCAGUGGUUGAGUCUUAGUAAGAUCGGAAGAGAGAAUUACAUGAGAGCGGAUUCGGCGGCGGAUCCGGCGGCGGUGAUGGACCAGAUGGGAGGAGUGGAGUCGUGGGUGACGGUAGAGUGCGUGACAGGCACAUGCAUGAAGGCUCCACCUCCUCAAGGGUUGGGAAUCAUCACUACGGACGAGGAGAGAAUGAGGAGUCUGGAGGUUGACGCGUGUCCGGGGUUCGUCUCCGACGGUUGGAACAGGGUUCGGUGGCUGAACGGAGCGUUCAGGAGGAUGGUGAUGAUGACGUGGCAGCAACAGUUGCCGGAGAUAGCCGUGUGGUUAGCGAUGAACGAGGAGCUGCCGUAUACCCACUCGGCGUUUACGUGCCAGGUGAAGCUGAGAUACACUGUGGGCAACAAGGAGAAGGAGAAGUACUACCACUCGCAAAUGGUGCCUUGUGAUUUGUGGAGAAUGGACGGAGGAGGAUUUGCAUGGAGGCUCGACGUUAAAGCUGCGCUCACUCUGGCCGUUGAUGCAGCUCCACUACAUAUCUAAGUGGUUGAAGACUGAGACAGGAAUUAUGGGUCGAGAUGAUAAGGUUAAUUUCAUUUGGACGGAAGAGGCGGCUUCUGAGGAUUUGAAGAAAUAACUGAACACUUGAUGAGUAAUGAUGGAUGGAGUUUAAGUGUAUAUAUGUAUGAAUGCAUGGUAAGUAUCAAUAUAUAUAUUGAAAAGUUUCUAAGGCAAGCAAGCAAUGAAACUGAUCAAGAUACAUAUUAGCUAGAAGUGGAGUGCUGAAGUAGUACCCAAGUUUCUGCUGGAGAUGUACUGAACAGAUUAAGCGCAUUGGCUGCAAGGGUGGACAUGUACGUAGACCCAGUUAACUAGGGUUUGAGAGUGGUGCUACUGUGUGUUGAACUUCAUUCCAGUGCGUGGUGAUCAAUUAACGCGAGGGAUCAGGAAUAUGCAAAGAUGAAGCAAUAUAUAACCCGGUAAUCGGCAAAAUUUUGAACACCAUGCAUGUACUAUUUCGAGUCUGGUAUGUAAUCAAGUACGUUCUUGGUUUUCUUAUGCAGUAUGAGCAUCUUGAUUAUUAAUUCAUUUGUUUGUCUCUCUAAGAUGUAAUUAAGAAGUAGUUUCUCUAAUUAAAUUGUCCUUUUAUACA
Molecule: RNA transcript, 5081 nt
Organism: Rosa rugosa (rugosa rose)
Lineage: Eukaryota; Viridiplantae; Streptophyta; Magnoliopsida; Rosales; Rosaceae
Exons: 2
Source: RefSeq, a predicted model, not a curated record